AAUUUAGUUCACUCUAAACUGAACUAAGGAAAAAUGUUGUUUGUAAUGGAAAGUAAAGUUUAAAAUUAUGUACGUAGAGGAAAACAGUGUGUGUAUGAGGGUCGCCAUGUUGAAGUUUCAACUUUUUAACUGAAACGCUAUUAACUGGUUUGACUUCAAACCCAGCAUUCUGAUUAGCUGACAGGUUUAUCUUUUGCUACACUGCCCCCUAUGGGUUUGGCAUAUUU
Poecilia latipinna (sailfin molly) is the source of this 227-nucleotide long non-coding RNA. RefSeq lists it as uncharacterized. The record is from RefSeq and is a predicted model, not a curated record. The transcript has 2 exons. Lineage: Eukaryota; Metazoa; Chordata; Actinopteri; Cyprinodontiformes; Poeciliidae.